RNAcentral lists this ribosomal RNA (253 nucleotides) under uncultured bacterium. Its description in RNAcentral is "partial 16S ribosomal RNA". It matches the Rfam family "Bacterial small subunit ribosomal RNA", at positions 524 to 776 of the family's 1533-position model. The record is from RNAcentral.
UACGUAGGUGGCAAGCGUUGUCCGGAUUUACUGGGCGUAAAGAGCGCGCAGGCGGUCGUGCAAGUCGCGUGUGAAAGCCCCCGGCUCAACUGGGGAGGGUCACGCGAUACUGCUCGACUCGAAGGCAGGAGAGGGAAGUGGAAUUCCCGGUGUAGUGGUGAAAUGCGUAGAUAUCGGGAGGAACACCAGUGGCGAAGGCGACCUCCUGGCCUGUUCUUGACGCUGAGGCGCGAAAGCUAGGGUAGCAAACGGG